This 2795-nucleotide unclassified non-coding RNA is filed under the name Portunus trituberculatus (swimming crab). Its description in RNAcentral is "nascent polypeptide-associated complex subunit alpha, muscle-specific form-like, transcript variant X1". The record is from RNAcentral. Lineage: Eukaryota; Metazoa; Arthropoda; Malacostraca; Decapoda; Portunidae.
AUGGCCGCUACGCAAGGAUACAUCAGUGGGCAGGAAAUCCCACUAGAUAAUCUGCCCUCAUGGAAAAGAGAACUGAUACUUCGAAAAAGAGCCAAUGCAAGAAUCCACGGAGCAGUGGGUCUGCCUGUUCCCACACCGAUGGCUGGGAUGGGACGAGGCUCGCUGAGUGGCCCAACAUCGUCUACAUCAUCCCCGCUGAGUGGCCCGCAGGAGGCUACAUGCUCGCUGAGUGGCGCGGCUCCCCCCCACCCCCGCUCCAACACAACAACGGCAGUCAGUACUCGUGGUGUGGGUGUGCGGGGAGCUACGUGUGCCGAGGAUGCGUGGAAAGACCGAAAGUAUGCUGUAACGAGUGAUCCUCCAGCCACCACUGUCCAUACCACCAUGCACCACAAGGGCCUGCACGACGAGGGCCCGCGGGUCACCUCGCCUGCGUAUUCCUCCGUCAGUGACUCUUAUGCCACCGAGGACGAGGAGUUGCGGUAUGGCCCCGGUAUUGUGUCCAAGCUCAAGAACCGGUACAUGAGCCUUGCCAUGAGGGAGAGUCGCUCUCGACCCUCCCUUCGUAGGUUCAGCUCCUUGGAGGACCUGCUGGACAGUGAACCACGGGGCCCGGUGGCCGCUAAGCCCCGUGCUGCCCCGGACUCUGGUCCAGCGCACCGGCGGGAGGUGAUGCGGCGGGCGCGCUCCGUGGACUCCCUCAGCAGCAGGCUGGCCGAGGACUCAAGGCGUGUCCGGGCGCCUGCCAUGGCCAAGAGUAAGUCUGCCUCCAGUCACCUCCAGUCUAGUCUGAAUCCUCUCGGAAAGGAAGACGUUAUCAUCAUUGAGACAAGCAGGACUCCCGUCGCUCGGGAACCCCAGGCAGUCAACGGCGCGGCUCAUCGCGCCAUGGAGCCCUCUCGCUCCCGCCAGCGUCAGCUGUCCUCCUCUACCGUAGGAGAGGAAGAGGACCUGCCGCCCCCAGACACUGUGCGUCACGCCAAGAGAAUAUUCGAGUCCUCGGGCGGUAGACCUCCGCGGGGCACAGCGGCCCGGAUUGCUGCCCACAAGGCGGCUCAGUUCUCCAAGUCUAACGGCGUUGCCCCGGCCUCCAAGCCUGCCCUCAAGGCCAAGCCCGCCGUGGUGCCCCCCCGUAAAGUGACGCCCCCCUCUGGCCCCACCCAUCCCGUCACUAUAGAGGAAGCGAAGGUUUCUCUGAAGAAGGUCACGCAGGUGGUGCGGCCCACCCCCAGAUCAACACUGAGUGUGAGGGCCACAGCCCCGAGUGGUGAGGGCACGGCUGGCGGUGUCAGUAAGCAGGAGGCUGCGGCCAAAGAGAGGGUGCCCCUCGGCCUGACCCCCGUCACCGCCUCAGUCACAGCGCCUGUGGUGAACGGUGACCCCGCGCCCAGGCAAGCACGGGGCGAAAGUUGCAGUGCGGGCGAGGUGGAAGAAGGGGUGAGGAGGAUAUCCAGCGCCGCUGUCUCAAAUAUCAGGAGUGAGAGUCAUUCUCAGGAAUUUAACUUUACUGACCGCUCUGUGAGCUCCCCAGCAGCCCCCAAGCCAGCCUCUCCAACACCCUCCCCGCUGCCAGCCUCCCCGAUAGCCUCCCACAGGGUGCCCUCGCAUCCCCCGCUAAGUAGCAAAGUUGAGAGGGUUGAUGAGAGUGAUCGUGUCCACCUAGAAAACCUAAAGAACGUGGAAAAGUCUCGGUCGCCGCCCGUGGAUGUUCAUACCAGCCCUGUUCUCCCUCCCAAGGUGGAGUCGCCUCGACAGCCCUCACUUAACGCUGUCAAGCAGGGCAAAGUGGAGUCUGGCGUCCCAGAUCCCAGAGGAGAGGGGAAGGUCUCUCCUAAGCAAGGUUUCUCUAGGAAAGUGGAAUCCAAACCCGAGGUGCGAUCGGUGGGGGAGGUGGAGCCCGCCAAGCCCAGCCCGCCCCCCGCCGAGGAGCUGGUGAGGGGAGUCGUGGGGAGAGGCGGGCUGGUCGAGGCUUUCAACAAAACACCAGCUGGAGGCAGCCCGGGCGUCCUCGCCCCUACUAAGCCAUCGCCCAAGCGUUGGCACCAGCAGGAAAAUACCACGCUCGUGUUUAACUUCACCAGCAGCAAAAAGGAGACGCCGGACUACAUCGAGAAUGACGGCAUUGACUUGUCCCGGAGACGACCAGAGGGCAAGCUGGACUCUGGCUACGUCAUCAUGCCUGGCUGGGACGGCCGCAUGGACUCCAGCACUGACGGGGAUGACUUCGAUGACGGGCUGGACUACCUCGACAGCCGGCCAGGUGUUCCUCCGGCGCCCUCAGGCAUCGUAUUUGAGGGCGAGGCGGUCAUCAUCAACGGGAGGAGUAACCUGCAGCGGCAACCCAGGACUCGGAAGCUCAAAAUCUCCUUCGACGACACGUUAACCUCCACCUACGAGUACCCGAGUGAGAAUUACCUGCUGGAGGAGGCCGGCCUGCUGCCCCUCGAGCCCACUGAGGGAUCCUCCGCUUCCCAAGGCUUUGAAAACAGUCGUGGUGAGAGAGCGAGGUACUUCAGAAUAGUGGGCCGAUGGCGUUAACCUCCCGCACCGGACGCCCCUUGCCCCUGCCCCGCCCCUCGGGUAGUGAAGGCUGCACUGCGUUCGUUGACUCCGGACACUCAUGGGGACGUUUUCCUGGACUUCAUUGCGAAUUCCAGUGGCCUGGCUAGCUACACCCCUAGCAAGAUCCAGAUUGGUAGUACCUUUGAACUGGGAGUGUCCCGGACAGCUCCUACUGUGCAGACUUCACCUCCUGCCCCUCCUCCUCAGACGCAGAAGGCUGAGGAUGAAUAUUU